CCAGUAACGGCGAGUGAAAAGGGAAAAGUCCAUCGCUAAAUCGUUUUGCCUCAGGCAUUAUGAGGUGUAGCGUAUAAGUCGUAAACUUUGAUCUUUUGUCUCAAACAAGUCCCCUUGACAGAGGUUCCACAGAAGGUGCAAGUCCUGUACGUUGAGAUAAUUGAUCGAUAUUUGCGUGCUUUAGAGUCGGGUUGUUUGGGAUCGCAGCCCAAAGUCGGUGGUAAACUUCAUCUAAGACUUAAUAUUGCCACGAGACCGAUAGCAAACAAGUACUGUGAAGGAAAGUUGCAAAGCACUUUGAAGAGAGAGUUAAAGAGGACGUGAAACCGGUAAGGUGGAAACGGAUAGAGUCGGCGUAUCAUUCAAUUAUUCAGUUACAUUAUUUUUAUGUUGUGACCUCUGAGCUCCAGAUUGGGACAGAGGGAAUCAGCAUAAUUUUUUGUGGUGCAUUUACUUGAUUGGUGCUUGGGGAUGUUUGAGGCAGAUUUGUUUCCGUCGUUUUGAGGCCAGCUUGCUGGUACCCAAACGGUGUUAGCAUUUUUUGUCUUGGGCAUUUGAGUAUGGCUCACGUGUAUUUAUUGGACAGAUCUGAGUGUAAGUUACGGUCGCAUGCGACACGUGCUUUUCAAUUAGUUCGGUCCAGUUAAUGCUCUCGUACUCGUUCCCCAUGUAAAAGCCGGUCAUCUAUCCGACCCGUCUUGAAACACGGACCAAGGAGUUUAUCGUGUGCGCAAGUUUUUGGGUGUUAAAAACYUAAAAGCGAAAUGAAAGUAAAUGRCUCUUUAGAGUCUGAUGUGCGAUCUWGUAAAAAAGUGYAGCAUGGCCCCAUUCUAACUGUUUACAGUAGGGUGGCGGAAGAGCGUACGCGGUGAGACCCGAAAGAUGGUGAACUAUUCCUGAGCAGGACGAAGCCAGAGGAAACUCUGGUGGAAGUCCGA
RNAcentral lists this ribosomal RNA (938 nucleotides) under Meloidogyne incognita (southern root-knot nematode). RNAcentral describes it as "eukaryotic LSU rRNA". It matches the Rfam family "Eukaryotic large subunit ribosomal RNA", at positions 80 to 878 of the family's 3401-position model. The record is from RNAcentral. Lineage: Eukaryota; Metazoa; Nematoda; Chromadorea; Rhabditida; Meloidogynidae.